Molecule: ribosomal RNA, 242 nt
Filed under: uncultured beta proteobacterium
Lineage: Bacteria; Pseudomonadati; Pseudomonadota; Betaproteobacteria
Description: partial 16S ribosomal RNA
Source: RNAcentral
AGGGUGCAAGCGUUAUCGGAAUUACUGGGCGUAAAGCGUGCGUAGGCGGUUUURUAAGUCAGAUGUGAAAUCCCSGGGCUCAACCUGGGAACUGCCUUUGAUACUGNANRGCUWGAGURYGGKAGAGGGGGRUGGAAUUCCGGUGUAGCGGUGAAAUGCGUAGAUAUUAGGAGGAACACCGAUGGCGAAGGCAAUCCCCUGGACCUACUGACGCUGAUGCACGAAAGCGUGGGGAGCAAACA